RNAcentral lists this ribosomal RNA (440 nucleotides) under uncultured bacterium. RNAcentral's name for it is "partial 16S ribosomal RNA". It matches the Rfam family "Bacterial small subunit ribosomal RNA", at positions 338 to 795 of the family's 1533-position model. The record is from RNAcentral.
CCUACGGGCGGCAGCAGUAGGGAAUAUUGCUCAAUGGGGGAAACCCUGAAGCAGCAACGCCGCGUGGAGGAUGAAGGUUUUCGGAUUGUAAACUCCUUUUGUUAGAGAAGAUAAUGACGGUAUCUAACGAAUAAGCACCGGCUAACUCCGUGCCAGCAGCCGCGGUAAUACGGAGGGUGCAAGCGUUACUCGGAAUCACUGGGCGUAAAGAGGGCGUAGGCGGGAUAGCAAGUCAGAUGUGAAAUCCUAUGGCUUAACCAUAGAACUGCAUUUGAAACUGUUAUUCUAGAGUAUGGGAGAGGUAGGUGGAAUUCUUGGUGUAGGGGUAAAAUCCGUAGAGAUCAAGAGGAAUACUCAUUGCGAAGGCGACCUGCUAGAACAUAACUGACGCUGAUGCGCGAAAGCGUGGGGAGCAAACAGGAUUAGAUACCCGUGUAGUC